Molecule: long non-coding RNA, 942 nt
Organism: Nycticebus coucang (slow loris)
Lineage: Eukaryota; Metazoa; Chordata; Mammalia; Primates; Lorisidae
Exons: 4
Source: RefSeq, a predicted model, not a curated record
AGAAUUCAUUUCCUGUGUCCAGACAGCUGUAAGGAAAGAUAUAGAGAUCUCAUCCUUGCUCAGGCUGGUCUGGAACAUCUCAACUCAAGCAAUCCACCUUCCUGGGCCUCUGAGAGUGCGAAGAUUACAGACAUGAGCCACCUUGCCAGCCUUUUUACCCACGUCUUAAUCAGUGUGCAGAAUGGGAAGAGGAAAAGAGACUAACUUCAAAUGGAGAAAGCCAGCAAACACCAUCUCACCAUGAUCAGAAUUAGCACCAACAGCAAUAAACUCACAUUGAUUUACAUAUAUUGAACCAGCAAGCCUUCCUCAGGAGAACGGAAAGAGAGGAAGUAAGCAACUUAAUGGGACAUCUCAAGAGACUGGAAAUGGAAGAACACUCCAACCCCAAAUCCAGUAGAAGAAAAGAAAUAACCAAAAAUCAGAGCAGAACUAAAUGAAAUUGAAAACAAAAGAAUAAUACAACAGAUCAAUAAAUCAAAAAGCUGGUUUUUUGAAAAGAUCAACAAAAUAGAUAAACCUUUGGCCAACCUAAUCAGGAAAAAAAGAGUAAAAUCUCUAAUAUCAUCAAUCAGAAAUAACAAAGACGAAAUAACAACAGACUCCUCAGAAAUCCAUAAAAUCCUUAAUGAAUAUUACAAGAAACUUUACUCUCAUAAAUAUGAAAAUCUGAAUGAAAUUGACCAUUACUUGGAAGCACGUCACCUUCAAAGACUUAACUAAAAUCAAGUGGAAAUGUUGAACAGGCCCAUAUCAAGUUCGGAAAUAACAUGAACCAUACAAAAUCUCCCCAAAAAGAAAAGCCCGGGACCAGAUGGUUUUACGUCAGAAUUCUACCAAACCUUGAAAGAGGAAUUAGUACCUAUAUUACUCAACCUGUUCCAAAAGGUAGAAAAAGAAGGAAGACUACCCAACACGUUCUAUGAAGCAAACAUCACUCUG